RNAcentral lists this ribosomal RNA (494 nucleotides) under uncultured bacterium. RNAcentral describes it as "partial 16S ribosomal RNA". It matches the Rfam family "Bacterial small subunit ribosomal RNA", at positions 28 to 507 of the family's 1533-position model. The record is from RNAcentral.
GACGAACGCUGGCGGCGUGCUUAACACAUGCAAGUCGAACGGAAAGGCCUGCUUUCCCUUGUGGAUUGCGGGUACUCGAGUGGCGAACGGGUGAGUAACACGUGAGUGAUCUGCCCCCAACUUGGGUAUAAGCCUGGGAAACUGGGUCUAAUUCCCGAUAGGACUGCAGGGUGGUGCCUGUGGUGGAAAACGAUUUUCUAGUGGUUGGGGAUGAGCUCGCGGCCUAUCAGCUUGUUGGUGGGGUAAUGGCCUACCAAGGCGGCGACGGGUAGCCGGCCUGAGAGGGUGGACGGCCACAUUGGGACUGAGAUACGGCCCAGACUCCUACGGGAGGCAGCAGUGGGGAAUAUUUCACAAUGGGCGGAAGCCUGAUGCAGCGACGCCGCGUGGGGGAUGACGGCCUUCGGGUUGUAAACUCCUUUCGACCGCGAGGAAGCCACCUGGCUGGAAGGGUGGUGACGGUAGUGGUAGAAGAAGCACCGGCUAACUACGUG